GCCCUUCGGGGUACUCGAGCGGCGAACGGGUGAGUAACACGUGAGCAACCUGCCCCAAGCUUUGGGAUAACCCUCGGAAACGGGGGCUAAUACCGAAUAUUACUGCUGGUCGCAUGGCUGGUGGUGGAAAGUUUUUCGGCUUGGGAUGGGCUCGCGGCCUAUCAGCUUGUUGGUGGGGUGAUGGCCUACCAAGGCGACGACGGGUAGCCGGCCUGAGAGGGCGACCGGCCACACUGGGACUGAGACACGGCCCAGACUCCUACGGGAGGCAGCAGUGGGGAAUAUUGCACAAUGGGCGGAAGCCUGAUGCAGCGACGCCGCGUGAGGGAUGACGGCCUUCGGGUUGUAAACCUCUUUCAGCAGGGACGAAGCGAGAGUGACGGUACCUGCAGAAGAAGCACCGGCCAACUACGUGCCAGCAGCCGCGGUAAGACGUAGGGUGCGAGCGUUGUCCGGAUUUAUUGGGCGUAAAGAGCUCGUAGGCGGCUUGUCGCGUCGACCGUGAAAACUUGGGGCUCAACUCCAAGCCUGCGGUCGAUACGGGCAGGCUAGAGUUCGGUAGGGGAGACUGGAAUUCCUGGUGUAGCGGUGAAAUGCGCAGAUAUCAGGAGGAACACCGGUGGCGAAGGCGGGUCUCUGGGCCGAUACUGACGCUGAGGAGCGAAAGCGUGGGGAGCGAACAGGAUUAGAUACCCUGGUAGUCCACGCUGUAAACGUUGGGCGCUAGGUGUGGGGAGCC
Molecule: ribosomal RNA, 739 nt
Filed under: Micromonospora sp. I12A-00993
Lineage: Bacteria; Bacillati; Actinomycetota; Actinomycetes; Micromonosporales; Micromonosporaceae
Description: bacterial SSU rRNA
Rfam family: Bacterial small subunit ribosomal RNA
Source: RNAcentral